Molecule: long non-coding RNA, 611 nt
Organism: Stomoxys calcitrans (stable fly)
Lineage: Eukaryota; Metazoa; Arthropoda; Insecta; Diptera; Muscidae
Exons: 2
Source: RefSeq, a predicted model, not a curated record
CACACUUGAAUUGAAAAUAUCACAAAAUUCCAAUGAAGUCAAAUUCCCCAUUUCUAAGAGUUAAGCGAAAAUAAUUCCCUGAACUUUGUCUGGAUGUAAUGUGGAAAACUGUGCGUUGCUCAACAGCAGAUACACUACCCAUAUCGGAACAUCAUCUUGAUGGUGAAGUUGUGGGGAGUAUCGUUGUGUUCCCCACAUCCCUAUCACUGAUAAUGGUGUUGUUGUUUCAUAUCGGCCUUGUUUUUGUGUCUGAUGUCAAAAGUGUUACUUGGGCUUGGUUCUCCUUGGAUCUUUGGCUUUUAAAUUAAAUUUGGCCCCAUACUUGAAACACCACAUGCGGUUGGGUGUUGCUUGUCUGCAUCGCUCGGAUAGGAAGGAGGGCACCGUAACUUCUAUCGUCUGUGUCUAUUCCGACGCACUUCAAUCUUUUUUGAUGCUGAUAAUGAACGAGAAGAUAUGUGCCAACAUUCUUUGAAAAGGCAGAACAAAUACUAUGCAACUGGGAGUUAGGAGCACAAAACAAUGCUUAAACUGAUAAAAUGUUCAUUUGUGGUAUGAAUACGUCUCACACGGAUUUGGUAUAAAAUAAGUUUUUUUUUAUGAACCUAAAA